Long non-coding RNA from Chiloscyllium plagiosum (whitespotted bambooshark), 1285 nucleotides. RefSeq lists it as uncharacterized. The record is from RefSeq and is a predicted model, not a curated record. Lineage: Eukaryota; Metazoa; Chordata; Chondrichthyes; Orectolobiformes; Hemiscylliidae.
GCAGCAUCUGAGGAGCAGGAGAAUCGACAUUUUGGACAAGAACCCUUCAUCAGGAAUGAGGGUUUUGAGGACAUUACAUGCUGACCACUUCCUGAUGGACUUGUGGUCAAAUGUGUUUCCUUUUACAACUUUUUCCACAAAGGACAAGGGAUAAGAAUAAUCCAACAACUUGCAGUGUUCCAUGGCAAUAAAACCAGAUCCUUUGUAACACUGGGCUCAGGUAAAACAUCAGCGCGUAUUGAUACUUGGUGUUUGCAUAUCAAGGGCUUGAUACAGUCGCACUCAAAGGUGACCAUCACAAUGAAGGCAGCACUGGGUACUUUCUUCACCUCACCACCCCACCCCGCCACCAACAUGAGCAUUCCAAGUUCUCUAGAAUUUUGUACAUGGUGUCCUCACAGACAUGGUCCAUCUUUGACUUCCAGAUGAAGUGUAAGAUAACUUGGGUGACUGCAGUGGAACAAGCUUGGGGAAUGAGCCAGACCUGCACAUACAGGAACACCAAGAGUACUUUAUACCUGGUGACCAGGUUUUUACCUGUGAAGGUAAGGGAGCAGUGCUCCCAUUUGCCCAGUUUCUGCCUCAUCUUGGCAAUACCUGCUCUCAAGUUUUAGCCCACGUCCCCGCCCCUCUGAACCAUAUUCUCAGCACCUUCAGGUAAUCUGGCCUGACAGUGAAGGGAAGAAAGGAUCUAUUGUCCCAGUUCCCAAAGAACAUGGUCUUGUCUCAAUUUAGCUUGGCUCCCAAAACCAGUUUGAACUGGUCACAGAUGCUCAUGAGUCUCCAUACUGACAGUGGAUCCAAGCAGAAAACAGUGAUGUCAUCCAGAAGAUACUUUCUCGAUUUGAAUUUAGUAUUACAGACCCAGGAGACAUUCCAAAAGCUGCAAGAAUUUCCUCUAAAAUCCUUUCCUCAGUGGAGGUUACUGAAAAUCUGAUAGGGUUUUCAAGUAUUAGUACUGUUGUCUAUUUGGUAAAACCUGAAGAUGUGGACUAUGACAAAUUUCCAAAAUCUGAAAUCCAAGUGAAUUGCAAUCAGAAUAAGACAUUUUCUAACAAUCUAUGCCUGUCAACAAUUCAGCUUCAUUGACAGGGUUUCUUUUACACAAAUCUGCCUUUUUAAAAGAAAAUAAUCAUCUCUACAGAGUUUGUUUUUGUUCUGUGUUUGUGUCUCUAUGUGUGGGAUUAUGUGAAUGUACUUUUAAUUCCAAUUUAUGAUUAGAUUAGGUUAAAUUCCCUACAGUGGGGGAAAUAGGCCCAUCUGCCCAACAAGUCUACACCAACCC